Long non-coding RNA from Oreochromis aureus, 823 nucleotides. Lineage: Eukaryota; Metazoa; Chordata; Actinopteri; Cichliformes; Cichlidae. The record is from Ensembl.
AUAAAAAACACCCUGAAUGCAUUUAGAAUACAUUUCGAACUACAAAUAAAAAUUUUUAUAGCAAUAUUAGUUUUUUAAUGUCAUAAUGCCAACCCGCCUCCCUUAUCUGGGUUGGGGACCGGCAAAAGUGACCCGAAAUAGGCCCUCUGGCAGAGUUAUUUUAUUUUACUUUUUGUCUUUAAGUUUUUUCUUUUUUUUUCUUUUUUUUAAUGUCUUUUUAAGUAAUUUUAAACCACACAAGAGAAACGGUCAAAGAAGAACAUUUUUAACCAUAACGUUGUUAACAAACUACAUUAGCAAUCUAAAUGGACCAAAAACAGUCAGUAGAAUAAACAGUGACAAUGUGGAAAAACUGAUGGGAACUAGUCUGGUCCUAAUUCAGGCUCAUUGUUUUUUGUUUGUUUGUUUGUUUUCCAGACAUCCCUGCGCAAAUAUUGUCUGUACUGGCUCACAGAAAGAGUGGGUCAUCCUCAUUUUCAUCAAGAUUCUCCAUGCCAGGUUCAGCAACUGUAGCACUUGAAUGAAUACAAGAUCCCGCCUACAUGUGACAGCAACUUUGGUCCACUGAUCUACGGUACCAAGAAAACCCAAAGCUUCAUCUUGGAAAACCAUGGAGACUUCAAGACUUCUUUCACCAUCACAGACCCUACACUCUUAAGCAGGACAGGACUCACCUCAGGCUGGGUGUAUUCUCAUUGUCUCCCUGCACUGGAAGCCUACAGCCAGGGUGGUGACAGUGGACUGUGCAGCUGAACAGCUAGGCAGCUAUAACCAGGAUUUGCUCAUUGACACCACUGGGCGUGACCCCUCAGACCAUCCUGAU